Physella acuta is the source of this 424-nucleotide long non-coding RNA. RefSeq lists it as uncharacterized. The record is from RefSeq and is a predicted model, not a curated record. Lineage: Eukaryota; Metazoa; Mollusca; Gastropoda; Physidae.
AGAUUAUGACGAGAUAGACUAUGCGCUGCAGUACGACAGACUAGAAGAAUCACCUGCUGAAGCUGCGGCCUAUGAAAAUACACUGGCUUUACACACAACAAAUGCAUAUGACUGCAUUGAUACGUCACAGCAGAAUGAAGAACUGAAUUAUAUGUGUGUUACAACAACGUAAUGAUUCGCAUUUUCAAAGCAAGUCUCUUUGUAAAUCAUGUCUCGAUACUAAUAUAUUAGUAUUGUGUUGAUAUUAAAAUAAGUUGGUAUUUGGGCAAUCUAGUAUUAAUUUCUUUAAUAUAUAAAUCAUACUUUAGUUGUUGGUUACUUAGGUUAAAGAAAAAAGUAACUAGAGUGACAGUCUUCUUUUAAAGAGUUUUUCAUAUUGUAUCGGAAUUAAUUAAUAAAAUAGUGGAAUUCCGUUAAAAGUAAA